This 292-nucleotide ribosomal RNA is filed under the name uncultured bacterium. RNAcentral describes it as "partial 16S ribosomal RNA". It matches the Rfam family "Bacterial small subunit ribosomal RNA", at positions 505 to 796 of the family's 1533-position model. The record is from RNAcentral.
GUGUCAGCCGCCGCGGUAAAACGUAGGAGCCUAGCGUUAUCCGAAUUUACUGGGCGUAAAGCGCGUGCAGGCGGCUGGGUAAGUUGGCUGUGAAAUCUCCCGGCUCAACUGGGAGGGGACGGUCAAGACUGUCCGGCUGGAGGCAGGUAGAGGGAGGUGGAAUUCCCGGUGUAGUGGUGAAAUGCGUAGAUAUCGGGAGGAACACCAGUGGCGAAAGCGGCCUCCUGGACCUGACCUGACGCUGAGAUGCGAAAGCUAGGGGAGCAAACGGGAUUAGAUACCCUGGUAGUCC